GCAUAAUUUAGCACUUGUUCAUUCUGCUAACAGUUAUACUCUUCCUCUAUUUAUAGUUCUGUGUGAGAACUAUGUAGAAAACACAGGGAAGGGGAGAAAACACAGUCCCUUCACUUGAAGACUUUAUAAUCAUGUUGGAAAGAAAGAAAGAACACAUGUGAAACUACUAGACAAUUGUUUCUGGUGACAAUACUUACUCAGCGUCUGUAAAGAGAAGGCCUCUUUGCAAGCUGUAUGUAUGUGGAGCUGUGGGUAGAUUUAUCAUAAAUAUGGUUAGAGCUCAGUCCUUGCCAUCUGUGCAAGCUAUUAGGGAGAAUAAGGCACAAAUCUUUAUAAUGAUAAAGCAAUUAAGCUGAACCUUGAAAGAGAAAGGAAAACUUUCAGUGAAUAGAGAUAGACCAGAUGUCAUUCCAAGUGGAGGGCACAACCUUGGGUAAGAAAAGAAAGUUUGGGAUAUGUUUGUGAACACUGAGUCGUCCUGUUUGGAUGGAGGACAGAUAUACAUGAAAGGGAACUGAGUGGGGAGACCAGAAGGAGAGAUUAGAGCUCAGGUCUCUCAGGAGGGGGGGUCUCGAAUUCCUAACUGCAGAGUUUAGAUUAUAUUUGUUAAGCCAUCAAACAUUUCAAAGCAAGGGAGCAAUCUCAGCUCUCUGUUAACAAGAAUAUUUGUCUGAUGGCUGCAUAAGGGCUGAGUUGAGGCGCUCAGAGAUGGAGGAUGGAAGGUCUGUUCAGAAGCUUUGGAAGAUAAGGGAACAAAUAAAAUUUUAAUAUAAAAAAGAAAAGGAAAAGUUAGUCAUAAUGAUUAAUGAUAAACAAAUACUCCUUAAAAGUGUCUAAGCCUACAGGUAAUAUGAUAAUUACUAGUAGAAAAAAUGAAAUACUAAAGGCAAGAAGCCCAUUCUUCCCAUUUUAAAAAUAUUGAUCUAGAAGUCCUAAGCAGAAGUGAAGUUGGCUGGAGCAGACUUGAGAGACACUGCAGAGGUGAGAUUGACAGACUUUGCCCCCAGAACAGUGCCUGGCUGUUAGUAGGUAUUCAAUAAAUAUUCCUCAAAUGAAUGAGUAAUUUUCUGUCCUCCUCUUAUAACUGGUUCUCCAGGGUAAGACCUCUCUCUUUCUCUCUACUUUUUUCACACUACAUUCCCAGAGUCUGGCAUAUAGUAGGCAUUCAACGAAUGCCACCUCAUUAGAUAUGGAAUUGAGAGAGAUGGAGAAGUGAAAGAUUAUCCAGUUUUAAACUGAAUUCAAUGCAAUGCUAGUGGCAUGUUUUCUUUCACAAAUAGUAAUGGAGAAGUUAGAAGGAGGGGCUGGUUUGGAGAAGAUUUGUUCACUUUUAAACUGCUGCGUUUGAAAAACUAGGAGGAUUAUCUAGAAGGUGAGAUCUAGCAGACAGUUGAAAACAUGGAAGUUGAACUAGAUAAGUUGGAUUGGAGGUAAAGAUCUGGGAGCAUCUGCAUAGACAUGUUAAUUGAAACAGGAGGAGUACUUGAGAUCACCAGAAAGGAGGUGUAGAAAAGGAAGAGAAACUGGGUUGAGGACAAAUCCUGGGACAUACUUGUAUUUUAAGUGAGGCACAAGAGGAGCCGAGGAAGGAGAUAGAAGUAAGUUAGUCAGAGUUGGGAGGCAAACUGUAUUCCAAUCAAAGGUGAGGGAAGACGAUUUUCAAGAAGGUAGUGAACAGCUCCAUCAAAUUCAAUAGUAAGAUUAGUGAGGCUAGAAUUCAAUAAAAACUAUUCCAUCCAGAAGUUACAGAGUGUUUCAGAGUUUGCAUGUGUGGGAAGGAGUGUGGGAAAUGAAAUCAGAUGUAAAUGGACAAGGUAUGAGAUGAAGGGAGUAGAUACAGAUUGCUCUCUCAAGAAAUUUGCUGGGAAAGGGAGGGAGGAGAGAGAAAAGAUAGAGGUAUUUGACUAGUUUCUUUGUAGAUGCCCCACCAUUAAGUGAAUAACUUGCCUCAAAUUUUCAAACUACACGCUAGUGUAGUUUAGGGUCUGUCACAUCACAUCCCAUGAUAUAUUGCCAAUGGCCAGUUACAAAUAGUUGCUGUGACCUCCUAAAGCAGCGGCAUGGACUGGAUUCUACAGAAGAAGAUGCAGAAGAGGAAAUAGAAGGAACAGCAAGAGACAGCAGGAUAAAACAAUGGGAAGGAGAGAAGACGUCCGCUGAGACUGAGGACUGCGAGUCCAGGCAGUAAUUCAAAGGGCUGCUGGGACUGCCUUUCACCUACGAUAUUCCACAGUGACUAUCGUUGAAUUGAAUGCAAUCCUUUGUACAUCUUCUUUGAUUAAAAAUUUACCAAUAAAUACAUAUUUUCAGGAAGGUUCUGAAGGCUUGGGAACUGUGGAAUUGGUAUGAGAUAAUCAACGAAGAAUAGCAAAGAGUCCUGUCAUCCAGUCAGUUUUUAAUAUUCACGAAAUGGAUGUGCUAACAGCUGCUGUCUAGAAAAUCAUGAUAUCCCAAUAAAGGUGCCAAGUUAAUGAAUUCUGAAGAAUCCACGACAUGACCUUUCUAUUCCAUCUGGUUCGGGUAACAGACUUUUGCAAUUUCUGUGGGGUCAUUUGGGACUUUUAAUGUAUGUAAUCAAGGAGUGAAUACAGGAAAAGGGCUAAUGUCCAGGAGCAAAAACAACAUAGUCUUCUUAGGCAUCUCAACACUAAUCAUCUCAACUGACCUCUGGAGAACGAAGUAGUUGGGUGUGUGUUUGUUUCUGGUCUUCAAUCUUACCUAACAAUUUAUAGUCAUGCGCCCCAUGACAAUGUUUCAGUCAACGACGGACGGCAUAUAUGAUGGUGGUCCCAUAAGACUAGUACCAUGGAGCCUACGUGUGUAGUAGGCUGUACCAUCUUGGUUUGUGUAAGUACGCUCUAUGAUGUCCACACAACCACAAAAUCACCUAAUGGUGCAUUUCUCAGAACGUAUCCCUGAGUUAAGUGACACAUGACUUUGUAUCAAAAACUCAAGAGCAAAUGGCACGGUUGUGCUAUGGUGAUAGGCACCCUGGAGAUGGAUACAAAGAAAGAUUUCUUUUGGCAUCAUUGUUUUUGGAAGUUAUGGGCUCAUGGCUUGGGUGUGCAGGUUGCUGUGAAUGAGAUGAACAAAACACCUUGUUAAAAUUGGCCACUGUUCCCCGGUAGAGCCUAGAUUCCCUUAGCGGAGACUGACACCAAGAAGAAUUCUCGCUUCCACUUACAACGUGGCACUUCCUGAUUCCUUUACUUUUUUCUUCCUCCUUUAAGAGGACAACAAAGUAUUCGGCAAUAGUCAGCCGCAGUAUAGAGACUCGGAACUGUCACUCACUGUGUGUUACAGGUGUCUCCCAGGCUCUCCAUGUUUUACAGAGAAAGCAGGACCAGGGAGAGGGGCACGCAGGAGAGAGAAGGCUGCUAUACACACUUGCAGCUGAUCCUUCAGUCCCCACCCUUCCCCAAUCUCACCUUACCCCUCCCUGCUUCCCAGACUACCCGCUGAUCUUGUGUUAUUUAUUUUCUCCCCUAAAUGGGUGCUUGCAGUUUACCUCAACUCAGUUUCACCUGGAUACAGAUGUAAAUAGGAAUGAAGCCCUAUUUCGAGACAUGAGAACUUGAAUUUUUCAUGCAGUCUGGAUCUAGCAUAUAAGAGUCAAUGGAAAUGUAAAAGGGGACGAUUUGCUCCAGUGAAGCUUUUCCUGUCCUCUUAAAAGAAAGUGACUCUUGGUUUGCUCUGGCCACCUGAUCAAGUCUGGAGUCCUGGGGUCUCACCCUACCACCGACUUCAGUGUGAGCCUGAUAAAUCCACAGCAUGAACUCUGAGAGAUUCCGGAAUUUCUCAGUUUCUAUCAGUGUCAAAGGGGGACUAAUGUUCCUGCUCUCUCCGGGUUGUUAUGAGAAUCACGAGCUAAGGUAUUUGAAAGCUGCUGACACAGUGCUUCUCGAGAGUCUGCCUCUUUGUCAGCUUUUACUUGAGCUACUGAAAGCACUCUUUCUCCCGAAAAAUGCUCGGGAACGCGAGGGCAGAGUGACACAUUGUCUUAGUAUCAUGAGGAAUACAGUUAAUGGGAAAUGACUUCAGUUUACUGCAUCUGCUAGUAAUCCUGUGAUGCCAUCACCAAACAGAAAGCACAUGACUACUCGUAAGCUCCCUGCACCUGAAAAAGAAAUUGGAUUCGAUUCAGAAAAUCAGGCUGUAAAGCUAAUCACUUUGAUCCAAUAACGUGGCCCUGCCGAGUGGCAUCAUCAGCCCUCAGACACAGAGAGGAGGAGGGAGAGUGAGCACUCGGGGAGGCAGCUGCUCAGCUCUGCAGACACUCAAGCCAAUGAAAAAUUCAUAAGGAGACGUUUUGUAGCCAAUGUCUAACACCACUGCUGGGUCACAAGCUGAUCUGAGCCAAUCAAUAGUAUUCAUCAUCUUGAAAGAAACUAGUGAUUGCACAUUUAUGAGAAGGGGCAGGUUUCCAAGCCAACGCCAGUUUCUGGUUACUUGCUGUGUGUCACCUUUAAAAAUAUAGAACUUAUUUUGAAAAUGGAACCCAAGACCUUUAAAAAAAUUUUUUGUAGGCGGAGCAGAAGAGGUGCUUUUCAAAUCCAGAGGGGAAAAUAUUUGAAUUCUUUUUGAAGUCAACCCAAGGACUAGUAUUUAAAUUGAAGCUGCUUGUUUGGUUCCAUUUUUGGUGGCCAUUCUUUGUAUGUGAUUUCUUUUUACUCAGCACCGGAGAUUUUUUUAAUAACACUAGCAUCUGUGUCAAAUUCUCCCAGAUACAGAUAGAAAUACAUGAGAAUGAAAUCAUAAAAAGAAAAAUAAAUGGAGUCAACUUUAUCAUUAUAUAUCAUUAAAUUCCAGGUAGGUUUGAUUUUUAAAAGCUUUAAAAGAUCAAAGAAACUUUAACUUGAGUUUGAGGGUUUGCUUUCUGCACAGGCAAUGAUUCAAGGGCAGAGGGAGGUGGAGACAGCGAGAUGACCUUAAGGGUUAUGUGCUCAGAAGCCGGCCAAGGAUUUCAAGGGAAACCGCACGUCAGCCCGGCUAGGUGAAUUAAACAUCAAGAGCUCACAAAUGAAAAGUCUUGGGAAGUCAACUUGUGAAGUAGGAAGGCAGAAGAAGAAGAGGAUAAAUAGUUUCAUCCUCUGCCUGUUGAUGGUGUUAGGGAAGAAGCUAUGCCCUUGCAUCUUGGUAAACAAGAUCUCUCAAGGAUAUCACUUCAUUGUUUUCACCAUAGCGUGAGCUCCUCUUUGGCUUCACAGUGGACGAUAAGUUCCCCGCGUUGGCUGCCUCUUGGAGUCACUGUCUGGUGAGCCUCCAAGCAACCCAAUGCCUGGGGCUGGGCCCUGCCUCACUGUAGCCACGUCCCAAGGAGGGCUCUGGCCACCCGGACUUCCCCAGCAAUCCCUGCUUGACCAGCACCAGGAACGGACGAGCCCUUCUGAGGGAGAGGCCUGAGACCAGGAGACCCUCUGUAACCACUGCUCAGCAUCCAGGAUCAGGCCAGAGGAAAGAAAGUUUGGCUGUGAGGGAACUGCCUGAGAGAUGACUGAGUCAGUUCUCAGAAGAAGGUCCUGAGGGGAGAGAGAACCCCUGGGAGAGGCCCUAGCGACCUCGUCAUCCUCUUGGGCCUAAUCCUUUUGGCAGGGAAGUCUCUUUCUGACAGGAAGUGGUAACAUCCUGGCUUUGGUGCAGCCAGGCAGGAUCACAAUGAGAGGGUAGAAUUCACUCAGAAACCAGAGUGGUAGCAACCUUGGAGGGGGUCUGCCGUGCCCCUAGCUCCCAUGUUGUACUCUAGCAAUGGUUUUCAAAGUGUGGUCCCCGGACCAGCAGCAUCAGCAUCCCCUGAGAAUGCGUUAGAAAUGCAAGUUCUUGGCCCAUCCCAGACCAACUCAGUCAGAAACUCAGGGGCGGGAUUCCCAGCAAUCGGUGUUCUCAUGAGCCCUGCAGAUGAUGCUGACACGCUCCAAGUUUGAGAACCACUGCCCCACUGGAACAGAUGGGGAGAGGAGAAGGGCGAGGAGAGGAAGUCCGGGUGGUUUCCUUCUUUCCCAGGCCCUCUCUGAGGACUGGCUAAGUCCUGCCCGAUAUUCUUAUCUCCAUUUCUUUUAUUUGCUUGAGCUGGUUUCAGUGGAUUUCCGAAGUAAAGAGUUCUGAGUAACAAAGCAGGGAUCAUUUGAAAAAAACUGUAAGGAAAUGAAGCUUCGGGGUUCCCAUGGUCCCUGCUUCAGCAUCGCCCCCUUUGAGUACCCACAAAGCCUCUGCUCAGAAAGCCUGGUGGUGACUAGUGCCCCUGGUCCCUCCUUUCUGGGCAAAGAGACAGAGCAUGCUAAAAUGGUUUGUCCCUCAGAAUUGAGCCAAGAAAAAAAUCGGAUAUAUGCAUGAAUAUUUAUGUACAAAGAUGUUCAUCUCAGUAUUAUUACACAGGACAAAAUGAGGAGGAGGACAAGCCAAAUAGCUAAGAGUAUAGGUCAGAUAAAUUAUGGCAAACUUGUAUAAUGGAAUGCUAUGCAGCCACUGAAUACGAUGUUAGCAUAAAAUACUUGGUGUCAGGGGGGAAUGGUCUCAAUAUAAUGUUAAGUGAUAAAAGAUGGAUAAAAAACAGUGUGCACAGUGUGUACACAUAUGCGUAGAAAAAAACUAGAGGUAAGC
Long non-coding RNA from Equus caballus (horse), 6597 nucleotides. NCBI's taxonomy places the organism in Eukaryota, Metazoa, Chordata, Mammalia, Perissodactyla, Equidae. The record is from Ensembl.